CAACACAUAGGCCUAAUCCACCUAAAAAUCAACCUAAUUCAAUCAGUCUAGACGGAGAGAAACGCCAGGAUUUUCAAAAAGGUUAAGAGAUCGACCAAUGUUAUUGUGGAAGAGAUUGUCGCCAGAUCUUUUGGCUGGAUAAAGAACAGAUGCUAGCAGUCUAAUCUAAUAUCUGUUGGGAUAUUUGUGUCAAACCGUCUUUUUCUGUAUAUCAGCUUGCUAGGCCUUGUGGUUUAAUAUAGUUAUUUUGUUUGCUGGAAAAAAACAAGACUAGAGAGGUAGAUGUUUUUUAUUACUUUUAUCUUUGACUUAAAAGGAGCAACACUAAAAGGUCUUUGAAUCUCAUGAAUGUUAGAAGGUUUUGACUAAUUAUAUGUCAAACCAGAAAAAAGUAUUUUUUUUCAUUUAUUUAUCUUUUCGAUUUUGUUA
This is a long non-coding RNA of Helianthus annuus (common sunflower), 429 nucleotides long. RefSeq lists it as uncharacterized. NCBI's taxonomy places the organism in Eukaryota, Viridiplantae, Streptophyta, Magnoliopsida, Asterales, Asteraceae. The record is from RefSeq and is a predicted model, not a curated record. The transcript has 2 exons.